RNAcentral lists this microRNA (21 nucleotides) under Populus trichocarpa (black cottonwood). Its description in RNAcentral is "ptc-miR7833". Lineage: Eukaryota; Viridiplantae; Streptophyta; Magnoliopsida; Malpighiales; Salicaceae. The record is from miRBase by way of RNAcentral.
UAAUUAGAACUCAUACUAGAC